AUGUACCCCAUGGACGCCGCACGUGGCGACGGCACACGCCUAAUCCAAGAUGAGAUCGACGGCCCCCCAGGCCUCCACGUCGUCGUCCUCCAGCCCCAGGAACGCCUCCAGCCCGGACAUGCGCUCCCGCAGGCUCUCCGUGCCGCCGGCAGCUGUGACCGGAAGGGGAGACGAAGAUGCCGAACUCUCCUCGGCAGCGACCCACCGACGCUUCUUGGGCGCCCCCGGCCCCUCCACGGCCGCGGCCGCCUGCGGCGCGCCCACCGCGGGCGGGAAGUUGAGCUUGGCCUUCGGCCCGCGGAUAUCGCGCGCCGCGACGUCGUAGGCGCGCGCGGCCUCCUCCGCGGUGGCGUAGGUGCCCAGCCAGACGCGCGCGCCCUUCGUGGGGUCCCGGAUCUCCGCAGCCCAGCGGCCCCAUGGCCGGCGCCUGAUCCCACGGUACGCCGUCUUCCGCCCCGGCGCCAGCGCCGGGGACGUCGGCGGAGGAGCCAUCCGGGCGGCGGGCCCCGGCCGGGACGAAGUCGGCGAUAA
Molecule: ribosomal RNA, 531 nt
Filed under: Triticum aestivum (bread wheat)
Lineage: Eukaryota; Viridiplantae; Streptophyta; Magnoliopsida; Poales; Poaceae
Description: partial small subunit ribosomal RNA
Source: RNAcentral